UACGGGGGGGGCAAGCGUUGUUCGGAAUUACUGGGCGUAAAGGGCUCGUAGGUGGCCAACUAAGUCAGACGUGAAAUCCCUCGGCUUAACCGGGGAACUGCAUCUGAUACUGGAUGGCUUGAGUUCGGGAGAGGGAUGUGGAGUUCCAGGUGUAGCGGUGAAAUGCGUAGAUAUCUGGAGGAACACCGGUGGCGAAGGCGGCAUCCUGGACCGACACUGACGCUGAUGAGCGAAAGCCAGGGGAGCAAACGGG
RNAcentral lists this ribosomal RNA (253 nucleotides) under uncultured bacterium. RNAcentral describes it as "partial 16S ribosomal RNA". It matches the Rfam family "Bacterial small subunit ribosomal RNA", at positions 524 to 776 of the family's 1533-position model. The record is from RNAcentral.